This 177-nucleotide non-coding RNA is filed under the name Lachnospiraceae bacterium. RNAcentral describes it as "6S RNA". It matches the Rfam family "6S / SsrS RNA". From Rfam's summary of the family: E. coli 6S RNA was the first non coding RNA to be sequenced, but its function was unknown until recently. The record is from RNAcentral. Lineage: Bacteria; Bacillati; Bacillota; Clostridia; Lachnospirales; Lachnospiraceae.
GUUAACCUGAAAUGUUGGAACCUGUUAUUUUUGAACCUACAGUUACUUUAAACGGGAUUCCUAUAUCUAUCGGUGGAUGUCAAGCCUCCUUCGAGUGGACGGCAGAAGCCGGUGUGCGGUCACGCACCUGGCGAAUGAGCUAGGAGUCAAAAGACAGGACCUCAUUUUGGGCCCAUU